CCUGGCUCAGGCAGCUCUGCUUGCUCGCUCACAGCCCAGCCCUUUCCUGGGGCCGGGGCAGGGAAUUGCUACAUGCAGGAUUACCUGGGGAAAAACCUGAGCCUCACUUAGGUCCCUUCCGGUAAUUGACACGACUGGAAGCCUGGGAGGGGGAAGGGAGAGCUUCCCUCCAUAAAUGGUCCCACCCCUGGGCAAGGUGGCUCACUCUGGCAGGUAGGAACCGGGGAGUGUGCACCUGCUACCAGUCAAGCUCAGCCCGACUGUGAGAAGAGGCAAGGCGGAGCAAGCCGAGGGACUGAAUGAACCAUGGACAAAUUGAAGUGCCCCAGCUUCUUCAAGUGCAGGGGGAAGGAGGUAGGGGUCUGGGAG
Molecule: long non-coding RNA, 369 nt
Filed under: Marmota monax (woodchuck)
Lineage: Eukaryota; Metazoa; Chordata; Mammalia; Rodentia; Sciuridae
Source: RNAcentral